CCCUUGUGGAGGAGGACGCCGAAGGUGGGGCUAAUGACUGGGGUGAAGUCGUAACAAGGUAGCCGUACCGGAAGGUGCGGCUGGAUCACCUCCUAACAGGGAGACAACAAAAUGUAAAUAUUAAUUUUGUCACCUUAGGUCGAUCGGUAUCUCAGAUUCUUAAUUUUUAAGAAUUUCAGUUUCUAAGUUUUUUCUAGGUCACACCCAUCACUUUUUCCUGGGCCAUUAGCUCAGGUGGUUAGAGCGCACCCCUGAUAAGGGUGAGGUCCCUGGUUCAAGUCCAGGAUGGCCCAUAUCUCUAUGUUGGGGGUAUAGCUCAGUUGGUAGAGCGCCUGCUUUGCAAGCAGGAUGUCAGCGGUUCGAGUCCGCUUACCUCCACUGAAUACCAUCUCUUACAUAUUGUAAAUGAGGGAAAUUGUUUUGAGUCGUGUCCUAAUUUGCUCUGAGCGAAUCUAGCUUCCUAUUUUAUUUAAUUAAUAAGAUGCUGGACUCAUUGAAUUUUUAUUCAUUGUUUUCAGAGAACCUUGACAACUGCAUAGAUUAUUUUUGAAGACAAUAAGCAUCUUUAAUGAUGCGGAUUUAUUAUUUGUGCGAAUGCAUUAAAUAACAAUUCUAUUAAGCUGAUGCUUCAGUUAUUGAAGUAAUUGGUCAAGCUACAAAGGGCUCACGGAGGAU
This 675-nucleotide unclassified non-coding RNA is filed under the name uncultured Prochlorococcus sp. Its description in RNAcentral is "partial may contain 16S ribosomal RNA, 16S-23S ribosomal RNA intergenic spacer, and 23S ribosomal RNA". The stretch from base 1 to 96 matches the Rfam family "Bacterial small subunit ribosomal RNA", at positions 1438 to 1533 of the family's 1533-position model. Lineage: Bacteria; Bacillati; Cyanobacteriota; Cyanophyceae; Synechococcales; Prochlorococcaceae. The record is from RNAcentral.